Molecule: ribosomal RNA, 404 nt
Filed under: uncultured bacterium
Lineage: Bacteria
Description: bacterial SSU rRNA
Rfam family: Bacterial small subunit ribosomal RNA
Source: RNAcentral
UAAGGAACCUUCCACAAUGGGCGAAAGCCUGAUGGAGCAACGCCGCGUGCAGGAUGAAGGCCCUCGGGUCGUAAACUGCUUUUAUGAGUGAAGAAUAUGACGGUAACUCAUGAAUAAGCACCGGCUAACUACGUGCCAGCAGCCGCGGUCAUACGUAGGGUGCAAGCAUUAUCCGGAGUGACUGGGCGUAAAGAGUUGCGUAGGCGGUUAGUAAAGCGAAUAGUGAAACCUGGUGGCUCAACCAUACAGACUAUUAUUCGAACUCACUAACUCGAGAGUGGUAGAGGUAACUGGAAUUUCUUGUGUAGGAGUGAAAUCCGUAGAUAUAAGAAGGAACACCAAUGGCGUAGGCAGGUUACUGGACCAUUUCUGACGCUAAGGCACGAAAGCGUGGGGAGCGAACC